UACACAUGCAAGUCGAACGGCAGCACGGGUGCUUGCACCUGGUGGCGAGUGGCGAACGGGUGAGUAACACGUCGGAACGUAUCCAUUAAUGGGGGAUAACGCAGCGAAAGCUGUGCUAAUACCGCAUACGCCCCGAGGGGGAAAGCAGGGGAUCUUCGGACCUUGCGUUAUUGGAGCGGCCGACGUCUGAUUAGCUGGUUGGUGGGGUAAAGGCCUACCAAGGCGACGAUCAGUAGCUGGUCUGAGAGGAUGAUCAGCCACACUGGAACUGAGACACGGUCCAGACUCCUACGGGAGGCAGCAGUGGGGAAUUUUGGACAAUGGGCGCAAGCCUGAUCCAGCCAUUCCGCGUGAGUGAAGAAGGCCUUCGGGUUGUAAAGCUCUUUCGGCAGGGAAGAAACGAUUCUGGCCAAUACCCGGGAUUAAUGACGGUACCUGAAGAAGAAGCACCGGCUAACUACGUGCCAGCAGCCGCGGUAAUACGUAGGGUGCGAGCGUUAAUCGGAAUUACUGGGCGUAAAGCGUGCGCAGGCGGUUUUUCAAGUCUGAUGUGAAAGCCCCGGGCUUAACCUGGGAACUGCGUUGGAAACUGAAAGACUAGAGUGCGGCAGAGGGGGGUAGAAUUCCACGUGUAGCAGUGAAAUGCGUAGAUAUGUGGAGGAAUACCGAUGGCGAAGGCAGCCCCCUGGGUCGACACUGACGCUCAUGCACGAAAGCGUGGGUAGCAAACAGGAUUAGAUACCCUGGUAGUCCACGCC
RNAcentral lists this ribosomal RNA (758 nucleotides) under bacterium EJ10-S-16. RNAcentral describes it as "bacterial SSU rRNA". It matches the Rfam family "Bacterial small subunit ribosomal RNA", at positions 50 to 801 of the family's 1533-position model. The record is from RNAcentral.